This 253-nucleotide ribosomal RNA is filed under the name uncultured prokaryote. RNAcentral describes it as "partial 16S ribosomal RNA". It matches the Rfam family "Bacterial small subunit ribosomal RNA", at positions 525 to 777 of the family's 1533-position model. The record is from RNAcentral.
ACGAAGGGUGCAAGCGUUAAUCGGAAUUACUGGGCGUAAAGCGUGCGCAGGCGGUUUUGUAAGUCUGUCGUGAAACCCCCGGGCUCAACCUGGGAAUUGCGAUGGAGACUGCAAGGCUAGAAUCUGGCAGAGGGGGGUAGAAUUCCACGUGUAGCAGUGAAAUGCGUAGAGAUGUGGAGGAACACCGAUGGCGAAGGCAGCCUUCUGGGCCAACACUGACGCUCAUGCACGAAAGCGUGGGGAGCAAACAGGA